ACGAACGCUGGCGGCAUGCCUAAUACAUGCCAGUCGAACGCUGAAGCACUCUGCUUGCAGAGUGCGGAUGAGUGGCGAACGGGUGAGUAACACGUGGGAAAUCUGCCUAUAAGAGGGGGAUAACAUUCGGAAACGGAUGCUAAUACCGCAUAUAUUCUUGGACCGCCUGGUCCUUGAAAGAAAGACGGCUUUGCUGUCGCUUAUAGAUGAUCCCGCGGCGUAUUAGUUAGUUGGUGGGGUAAAGGCCUACCAAGACAAUGAUACGUAGCCGACCUGAGAGGGUGAUCGGCCACACUGGGACUGAGACACGGCCCAGACUCCUACGGGAGGCAGCAGUAGGGAAUCUUCCACAAUGGGCGAAAGCCUGAUGGAGCAAUGCCGCGUGAAUGAAGAAGGUCUUCGGAUCGUAAAGUUCUGUUAUUAGAGAAGAACAAGUCAAGGAGUAACUGUCUUGACUUUGACGGUACCUAACCAGAAAGUCACGGCUAACUACGUG
This 496-nucleotide ribosomal RNA is filed under the name uncultured bacterium. RNAcentral describes it as "partial 16S ribosomal RNA". It matches the Rfam family "Bacterial small subunit ribosomal RNA", at positions 29 to 507 of the family's 1533-position model. The record is from RNAcentral.